Long non-coding RNA from Xyrauchen texanus (razorback sucker), 357 nucleotides. RefSeq lists it as uncharacterized. The transcript has 3 exons. The record is from RefSeq and is a predicted model, not a curated record. Lineage: Eukaryota; Metazoa; Chordata; Actinopteri; Cypriniformes; Catostomidae.
GUGUGUGGCGCUCUGCUUGCCAGGCAUCCAGUGGGACUUCAAUGGCAAGGAUUUUGCUGCUUGGGGUGUUUGACAUUGAAACGCUCGUCAAAAGUAAUUUGAGAGGGGAAUCCAAGGUAUCAAAGGGGGGAGAUGGGUAGAGAAGAAGCGGCCUAGAUGAAAUAAAAGUAAAAGCUAUAACGGAUGCAGUUAUGUCAAAGCACUCAGUUUCGGCUGGCCAGAUCGGAACAGCCCUGAAUGGGAAGAUGGCAGAACUAAGACUGGCAAUGUCCAGGAAAAAUGUUAAUUAAAAAUGAGUGUGUUUCCCCAGUGAGUGUGUUUGGAAAUGUUUUAAAUGUGGCUAGAAUUUUGAAAAUG